AACGAACGCUGGCGGCAGGCUUAACACAUGCAAGUCGAACGCACCUUUCGGGGUGAGUGGCCGACGGGUGAGUAACGCGUGGGAAUCUACCCUUCUCUACGGGAUAGCUCCGGGAAACUGGAAUUAAUACCGUAUACGUCCUGAGGGAGAAAGAUUUAUCGGGGAAGGAUGGGCCCGCGUUGGAUUAGCUAGUUGGUGGGGUAAAGGCCUACCAAGGCGACGAUCCAUAGCUGGUCUAAGAGGAUGAUCAGCCACAUUGGGACUGAGACACGGCCCAAACUCCUACGGGAGGCAGCAGUGGGGAAUAUUGGACAAUGGGCGCAAGCCUGAUCCAGCCAUGCCGCGUGAGUGAUGAAGGCCCUAGGGUUGUAAAGCUCUUUCAGUGGGGACGAUAAUGACGGUACCCACAGAAGAAGCCCCGGCUAACUUCGUG
Molecule: ribosomal RNA, 433 nt
Filed under: uncultured bacterium
Lineage: Bacteria
Description: partial 16S ribosomal RNA
Rfam family: Bacterial small subunit ribosomal RNA
Source: RNAcentral